AUUGAACGCUGGCGGAAUGCUUUACACAUGCAAGUCGAGCGGCAGCGCGGCCUUCGGGCUGGCGGCGAGCGGCGAACGGGUGAGUAAUGCAUCGGAACAUGCCCAGUCGUGGGGGAUAACACUUCGAAAGAAGUGCUAAUACCGCAUACGUCCUGAGGGGGAAAGCGGGGGAUCGCAAGACCUCGCGCGAUUGGAGUGGCCGAUGUCAGAUUAGCUAGUUGGUGGGGUAAAGGCCUACCAAGGCGACGAUCUGUAGCUGGUCUGAGAGGAUGAUCAGCCACACUGGGACUGAGACACGGCCCAGACUCCUACGGAAGGCAGCAGUGGGGAAUUUUGGACAAUGGGGGCAACCCUGAUCCAGCCAUUCCGCGUGAGUGAAGAAGGCCUUCGGGUUGUAAAGCUCUUUCGGCAGGAACGAAACGGUGGGCUCUAACAUAGUCCGCUAAUGACGGUACCUGAAGAAGAAGCACCGGCUAACUACGUG
RNAcentral lists this ribosomal RNA (484 nucleotides) under uncultured bacterium. RNAcentral's name for it is "partial 16S ribosomal RNA". It matches the Rfam family "Bacterial small subunit ribosomal RNA", at positions 30 to 507 of the family's 1533-position model. The record is from RNAcentral.